CCCGGUUAUUAUUGACAACACCAACAUCCAUGCUUGGGAAAUGAAGCCGUAUGUGAUGAUGGCACAUGAAAAUAGAUAUGAAGUUACAUUCCAAGAACCGGAUACACCCUGGAAGUUCAAUGUUCAAGAACUGACAAGGCAUCUGGAAAAAUUACCAUUAGAAGACAAAGAUCCUUUUGAAUUGUGACAUCUAGUACCAGUUUCAGAAGAUUUGAACAAAGAGUUAUCAUCAUCCAAGUCUCUGAAGAGCUCUGCAGACCUACUCAAAGCUGCUUUUGAAAUAUUUAUUUUUUUACCUCCAGCUGAAGUAAAGCCUAUGAAAUUAGAAAAGCUGUCCUGCUUAGCUAUGGGAAAGCUCUCAUCAGAUCUUCUUUCAUUUAUGUCUAAGUUAGUAAAAGUAACCUUUUUAUCAUUUCCGUGGAAAAA
Molecule: long non-coding RNA, 426 nt
Organism: Haemorhous mexicanus (house finch)
Lineage: Eukaryota; Metazoa; Chordata; Aves; Passeriformes; Fringillidae
Exons: 3
Source: RefSeq, a predicted model, not a curated record